Molecule: transfer RNA, 67 nt
Filed under: Littorina brevicula
Lineage: Eukaryota; Metazoa; Mollusca; Gastropoda; Littorinimorpha; Littorinidae
Description: tRNA-His
Source: RNAcentral
GUUAAGUUAGUUUAUGUAAAGAACACCAGCCUGUGGAUCUGGAAAAAAGAGUUUAUCUUACCUAACC